This 626-nucleotide ribosomal RNA is filed under the name Zetela sp. 1 LS-2013. RNAcentral's name for it is "partial 12S ribosomal RNA". Lineage: Eukaryota; Metazoa; Mollusca; Gastropoda; Trochida; Solariellidae. The record is from RNAcentral.
GACAAACAGAUCGAAUUAAAGUUGAUGAUAGUAAAAAAGGAGGUUAAUAUAUUAUAUUUGAAAAAUAAUGCUUUUUAGGGAGGUGGAAUUUAGAUAAAAAGAGAUAAUUUGUAUUUUUCUUUUUUUGAGGCCUCGAAAUUUUGUUAUGAAACCGGGAUUAGAUACCCCGUUAUUCAGAAUGUAAACUAUGAUUAUAUUUAUAAUUUACUUGAGUAUUACGAGUGCUGGAAGAUUGUGUUUUCUAUGUUUCUUAAAACUCAAAAGACUUGGCGGUGCCUCAUAUCCUUCCAGGGGAACCUGUCCUAUAAUCGAUAGUCCACGAUGUAACUUUCUUUCUUUUGAAUUUUAGUAUCAGCUUGUAUACCGUCGUCGUCGGGUUAUCUUUAAGAGUUAUGAAGUUAUCGGUGUGAGUAAUUAGAGAUUUAAUUUAUGGUAAUAUAACCUAAAGUUAAUUUAUGUAAAUUCUAGACGUCAGAUCAAGGUGCAGUUUAUAGGGGAGCAGAGAUGGGUUACAAUAAUAAAUUAUUAUACGAAUUUUUGUUGUAAAUAGCAGAAAUGAAGGAGGACUUGGAAGUAAUUGGUCUAAAGAUAAGAGAGCUUANAUGAANAUAGGCUCUGAGGCGCGC